Molecule: ribosomal RNA, 625 nt
Filed under: Lysinibacillus sp.
Lineage: Bacteria; Bacillati; Bacillota; Bacilli; Caryophanales; Bacillaceae
Description: bacterial SSU rRNA
Rfam family: Bacterial small subunit ribosomal RNA
Source: RNAcentral
GGCUAAUACCGAAUAAUCUAUUUUACUUCAUGGUGAAAUACUGAAAGACGGCAUCUCGCUGUCGCUAUAAGAUGGGCCCGCGGCGCAUUAGCUAGUUGGUGAGGUAACGGCUCACCAAGGCGACGAUGCGUAGCCGACCUGAGAGGGUGAUCGGCCACACUGGGACUGAGACACGGCCCAUACUCCUACGGGAGGCAGCAGUAGGGAAUCUUCCACAAUGGGCGAAAGCCUGAUGGAGCAACGCCGCGUGAGUGAAGAAGGUUUUCGGAUCGUAAAACUCUGUUGUAAGGGAAGAACAAGUACAGUAGUAACUGGCUGUACCUUGACGGUACCUUAUUAGAAAGCCACGGCUAACUACGUGCCAGCAGCCGCGGUAAUACGUAGGUGGCAAGCGUUGUCCGGAAUUAUUGGGCGUAAAGCGCGCGCAGGCGGUCCUUUAAGUCUGAUGUGAAAGCCCACGGCUCAACCGUGGAGGGUCAUUGGAAACUGGGGGACUUGAGUGCAGAAGAGGAAAGUGGAAUUCCAAGUGUAGCGGUGAAAUGCGUAAAGAUUUGGAGGAACACCAGUGGCGAAGGCGACUUUCUGGUCUGUAACUGACGCUGAGGCGCGAAAGCGUGGGGAGCAA